Molecule: ribosomal RNA, 863 nt
Filed under: Bacillus amyloliquefaciens
Lineage: Bacteria; Bacillati; Bacillota; Bacilli; Caryophanales; Bacillaceae
Description: bacterial SSU rRNA
Rfam family: Bacterial small subunit ribosomal RNA
Source: RNAcentral
GACGAACGCUGGCGGCGUGCCUAAUACAUGCAAGUCGAGCGGACAGAUGGGAGCUUGCUCCCUGAUGUUAGCGGCGGACGGGUGAGUAACACGUGGGUAACCUGCCUGUAAGACUGGGAUAACUCCGGGAAACCGGGGCUAAUACCGGAUGGUUGUUUGAACCGCAUGGUUCAAACAUAAAAGGUGGCUUCGGCUACCACUUACAGAUGGACCCGCGGCGCAUUAGCUAGUUGGUGAGGUAACGGCUCACCAAGGCAACGAUGCGUAGCCGACCUGAGAGGGUGAUCGGCCACACUGGGACUGAGACACGGCCCAGACUCCUACGGGAGGCAGCAGUAGGGAAUCUUCCGCAAUGGACGAAAGUCUGACGGAGCAACGCCGCGUGAGUGAUGAAGGUUUUCGGAUCGUAAAGCUCUGUUGUUAGGGAAGAACAAGUACCGUUCGAAUAGGGCGGUACCUUGACGGUACCUAACCAGAAAGCCACGGCUAACUACGUGCCAGCAGCCGCGGUAAUACGUAGGUGGCAAGCGUUGUCCGGAAUUAUUGGGCGUAAAGGGCUCGCAGGCGGUUUCUUAAGUCUGAUGUGAAAGCCCCCGGCUCAACCGGGGAGGGUCAUUGGAAACUGGGGAACUUGAGUGCAGAAGAGGAGAGUGGAAUUCCACGUGUAGCGGUGAAAUGCGUAGAGAUGUGGAGGAACACCAGUGGCGAAGGCGACUCUCUGGUCUGUAACUGACGCUGAGGAGCGAAAGCGUGGGGAGCGAACAGGAUUAGAUACCCUGGUAGUCCACGCCGUAAACGAUGAGUGCUAAGUGUUAGGGGGUUUCCGCCCCUUAGUGCUGCAGCUAACGCAUUAAGCACUCCGC